This 529-nucleotide ribosomal RNA is filed under the name Salmonella enterica. Its description in RNAcentral is "partial 23S ribosomal RNA". It matches the Rfam family "Bacterial large subunit ribosomal RNA", at positions 711 to 1238 of the family's 2925-position model. Lineage: Bacteria; Pseudomonadati; Pseudomonadota; Gammaproteobacteria; Enterobacterales; Enterobacteriaceae. RNAcentral also lists the same sequence under 3 other names. The record is from RNAcentral.
AGACCCGAAACCCGGUGAUCUAGCCAUGGGCAGGUUGAAGGUUGGGUAACACUAACUGGAGGACCGAACCGACUAAUGUUGAAAAAUUAGCGGAUGACCUGUGGCUGGGGGUGAAAGGCCAAUCAAACCGGGAGAUAGCUGGUUCUCCCCGAAAGCUAUUUAGGUAGCGCCUCGUGAAUUCAUCUCCGGGGGUAGAGCACUGUUUCGGCUAGGGGGCCAUCCCGGCUUACCAACCCGAUGCAAACUGCGAAUACCGGAGAAUGUUAUCACGGGAGACACACGGCGGGUGCUAACGUCCGUCGUGAAGAGGGAAACAACCCAGACCGCCAGCUAAGGUCCCAAAGUCAUGGUUAAGUGGGAAACGAUGUGGGAAGGCCCAGACAGCCAGGAUGUUGGCUUAGAAGCAGCCAUCAUUUAAAGAAAGCGUAAUAGCUCACUGGUCGAGUCGGCCUGCGCGGAAGAUGUAACGGGGCUAAACCAUGCACCGAAGCUGCGGCAGCGACACUAUGUGUUGUUGGGUAGGGGAGCG